Molecule: non-coding RNA, 54 nt
Organism: Salmo salar (Atlantic salmon)
Lineage: Eukaryota; Metazoa; Chordata; Actinopteri; Salmoniformes; Salmonidae
Source: Rfam
UCAAUUCACUACUGUAAGUUGCUCUGGAUAAGAGUGUCUGCUAAAUGACUAAAA